Molecule: ribosomal RNA, 255 nt
Filed under: Triticum aestivum (bread wheat)
Lineage: Eukaryota; Viridiplantae; Streptophyta; Magnoliopsida; Poales; Poaceae
Description: partial small subunit ribosomal RNA
Source: RNAcentral
AUGAAUAUUCUAAGCUAGAACUGUCGAUGGGGUGGGAACCCUCGGAUAGUUCAUGAUCUUGUGAGCCUAGUGCAGGCUCAUUCCCCUAGUGUCGUCUUUCAUUGUGAAACUAGGCAGUCUAAGAAUAAAAUGAAGAGGUACAAUGCUCGGUUAGGUCUAAGUGGUUUUGAUGCUUCAGAUAGUGUUGGUCUUAGUGGUGGUCUUGCUUUGUAUUGGCAUGAGUCGUUGAGUGUAAGUGCAUCUAGUGCCCCUUAG